Molecule: small RNA, 24 nt
Filed under: Arabidopsis thaliana (thale cress)
Lineage: Eukaryota; Viridiplantae; Streptophyta; Magnoliopsida; Brassicales; Brassicaceae
Description: ATSL020050
Source: RNAcentral
AAAACAGAGAAAAAAAAUGAAAAA